This is a small nucleolar RNA of Arachis duranensis, 106 nucleotides long. The record is from RefSeq and is a predicted model, not a curated record. Lineage: Eukaryota; Viridiplantae; Streptophyta; Magnoliopsida; Fabales; Fabaceae.
UUGUCAUCAGUGGGCACUUCCUUGUUAAGUCCUUAAACCUCUCCCAUGCUUCGUAGAGAGUCUCACCAUCUUGUUGCCUGAAAAUUUGUACCUCAGCUCUCAGCCU